Molecule: transfer RNA, 96 nt
Filed under: Micromonospora sp. AKA38
Lineage: Bacteria; Bacillati; Actinomycetota; Actinomycetes; Micromonosporales; Micromonosporaceae
Description: tRNA-Gly
Source: RNAcentral
UGGCCGGCGGCGCGGUGGUCGACGGCGCGUUCCGGCUCGCCGGGCCGGACUGGACCCCGGAGGGCCAGUGGUGGCUCGGCGUCCACCACCGGGCGG